GAUGAACGCUGGCGGCGUGCUUAACACAUGCAAGUCGAACGGAAAGGCGCGGCUUUUGUGGGGUUCUCGAUUGGGGAACGGGUGAGUAACACGUGUGUAACCUGCCCUUGUCUUUCGGGUAACAUCAGGAAACUGGGGCUAAUAUCGGAUAGGAUAUUCUGCAGCAUGGGGGGGGAUGGAAAGUUUCGGCGGUUGGGGAUGGACUCGCGGGUUAUCCGCUUGUUGGUGGGGUAGGCGCUGACCAAGGGUUUGACGGGUAGCCUGCCUGAGAGGGUGAACAGCCACCAUGCGACUGCGGUACGGCCCAGUCUCCUACGGUCGGCAGUGGUCGGAAAUAUUGCACAACGGGCGGACGCCUGUGACGACAGUGCCCCGUGCGGAAUGACGGCCUUCGGGUUGUGAACAGCUUUCGCCUUUGCCGAAGCGUGCGUGACGGUAAUGGGUCAAGAAGCACCGGCUAACUACGUG
RNAcentral lists this ribosomal RNA (468 nucleotides) under uncultured bacterium. RNAcentral's name for it is "partial 16S ribosomal RNA". It matches the Rfam family "Bacterial small subunit ribosomal RNA", at positions 28 to 507 of the family's 1533-position model. The record is from RNAcentral.